UGAAAGAUGAAUUAAAAUUGUUUAGAUGUUUAAGAUGCAUGACUUCAUUACAAUCAGGAUUUUGAAAUAAUCCCUUUUUGUUUCAUGUAUUGAAGAUAUUGAAAAUGCAUUAAGUUACAGUGAAGGUGUUUAAAAUGGGAAAAUUAUCUUAUUGACUUCAGUAAAUAAAAUCAAGUCAAGACAUUUUACUUAUAUCAAAUAAGAACUACCUGAGGCAUGUUAGAUUAGAGCGAAUUAUAUUUCUCAAUGGAUAUAACCCAAGAACACAAAACUCAAUUUAAAAAGUCAUUUCAGCAGCUAAAGAUAAAAAAUUCUGUUAUUUGUCUGUGAUUGGUAAAUACUUUUGCAUGUGUGAUCAACUGUAUGGUUAUGUGAUUUCAAAUUUCUAAUUUCAUAUUCAAUCUAGGUGUACGGCACUUUCAAAAAUCACCUUAUUAUCCAAAGAAAUACUAUAAUAGAAAUACAAUAAAGUUUUAGAAUUUUAAAAUGUAGCAGUUUGUUAAGCCUUAGCAUAUAAUUAGACAAUCCUACUUCUGUUUAUCUUUUUAUUUCCUUUGUCGACUAACUCACUUUAUUUUUCUUAUACUUUUAUAAAUGAGAGGACAGAAUGUUCUUAUUCUGGGUAAAAUCUUGGAAUCAUUAAUUUCCACCUUUAUAUCUGAUGGUUUAAGAGGUUAGUGUCUUUUUAAAGCUAUGAUGUCAUAGAUUCACAUAAGAGUAAAGGUUCCAUCCUUCUCUCCAUACUGGAGUAGAGAAAUACUUUGUCUAUAUCCCUUUGCUGCUGAGGCCUACUGGUGGCUGAGAUCAUUUACAUGGUGAAUACCUUCACAGAAAGCUUUCUAGAAACACUAUUCAGGGCACCAGAAUCACUCCCUCCCAACUGUUGAUGAAUCCUGAGCACAAAAAGACCUGCCAUCACAAGUCACAAGAAUUCUACUAGCAGAGUAAAUCAUAUGGGAAAAUAUAUCAUAUUUCACUCUUAAACAGGGAGUAACCAACUGAUUAGAUCCAGCUGAAGAGAAAAUUUGUAUAUUGCAAGAUAGAGAUAAAGAAAUAACACAAAAUUAUCAGCAUGUUAAGGACAUGGGAAAAUAUAAGAGAUAUGGAGAAAAGGUGAAAAGGGUGGCAUAUACAUAAUUGGAAUU
Molecule: long non-coding RNA, 1145 nt
Filed under: Homo sapiens (human)
Lineage: Eukaryota; Metazoa; Chordata; Mammalia; Primates; Hominidae
Description: HSALNT0378497
Source: RNAcentral